CACUGCUGCAUGUCCUUGUGUGUAUGUGUAACAAGGGGGGGUGUACGUGCAUUAAGUGUGCAUGGCGCACCUGCGUUGCCAAGAUAGCAAUGAAUGUCUGAAGGUUGAGAGUUGUCAGUGUUUAAAACAGACAGUGGUGCACCUGUGUUUUCUAUUGCCGAGAUAGCAAUACGCCAGCAAUACGUUCCUGAACACGUCUUACUUCUGGAACACCAUGUCCAUCAGCAUUGAUAUAUUCUUAAGCUCCAUUGCUUGUGUAAGAUAAGUCCCUUAGUCUUACUCUAGGGCUAAUCUCCAUCUUCAUCUCUCUUUCCUCUCUCCCCAGGCUUUCUUCCAGGGUAAACUGAAGAUCACAGGGAACAUGGGCAUGGCCAUGAAGCUCCAGAACCUUCAGCUGAAGCCGGGCAAUGCCAAGCUGUGAGGGUCCAAACCCACCAUUCCGGAGUGGCAACCUAGAGAAUAGAGUCUUUUAGAUUGACUGAGCCAGAGACGGAGAAACUCACUACUUAGACAUAGUGUUUAAUCUGCACUUUGGCCUGGGACCUGUCUUCAUGAACAGUUUUAGAAGAGGAGUGCUAAUGUUAGAUUAGAGACUUUUUUCCAAUUAAAACUAAUGAGUACCCAAUUCAUCAACAAACCAGGAUUAUGGAUCAGCUCUCCUGCUUUUAGACGUGUUCCGAUGACAGGGUCUGUUCUUCUUCUAACAGGGCAAGUGUCUUCAUGCUGUUACCGGGGGAAACUGAGGGUAUAAGUGCCUGUAGUGCAUGUGUAAGAGGUGGCAGGUUAUAUAUAUUUAUGGAAUGGAGGCUCCACAACAUAAUUGGUUGGUUCUGGUUCUAGUCAUUGACUGAUACUGUACUGUAUGUAUGUAUGUAAACAAAGGCGUGUCAUAUUUGCCCAACUGUAAUAUCAGGGUCUGAGGUUUCAAUACGUUUCUGUAGCACAAGACAACACUUUGUUACCUGUAAGCCGUUUCCCAGAGUCUCUGUGUACAACAUUUCUGCGUUUCUGUCCACCCGAAGGCUGAAAUGUUUUUUUUUACUAAAUAAACUUUCCUCUUUCACACUAACA
Molecule: long non-coding RNA, 1071 nt
Filed under: Astyanax mexicanus (Mexican tetra)
Lineage: Eukaryota; Metazoa; Chordata; Actinopteri; Characiformes; Acestrorhamphidae
Description: lncRNA (ENSAMXG00005000262.1)
Source: RNAcentral